RNAcentral lists this ribosomal RNA (164 nucleotides) under uncultured bacterium. RNAcentral's name for it is "partial 16S ribosomal RNA". It matches the Rfam family "Bacterial small subunit ribosomal RNA", at positions 355 to 511 of the family's 1533-position model. The record is from RNAcentral.
UAGGGAAUCUUCCACAAUGGACGAAAGUCUGAUGGAGCAACGCCGCGUGAGUGAAGAAGGGUUUCGGCUCGUAAAGCUCUGUUGUUAAAGAAGAACACGUAUGAGAGUAACUGUUCAUACGUUGACGGUAUUUAACCAGAAAGUCACGGCUAACUACGUGCCAG